GUUGUCGCUUCAUCUUUGUGUUUGCAGUGCUGAUUAACAAAGUGUCUCUGCAGGAAACGGUAUAUAGAGAGGGUGUUACUGGCGGUUCUGUUCUCCUGCCGUGUUCUUCUAGUGAUCAUGUUCAGAAACUUAAAGACAUCGAUGUAAGCUGGAGACAGAAUGACAGCGAGAUUGUGUAUGAUAUAAUCAAGGGUGAAGAUUCAGUGGCAGAACAGGACCGUCGGUACAAGAAUAGAGUUGAAACGUUUCCAUUGGAGUAUGAGAGAGGAAACUUCUCCAUCAAACUCAACAAUCUCAAUUACACUGAUACUGGAGAGUUCAACUGCCUCAUCACACCCUCAAACGAACAGACGAAUGUUGUACUGAUCAUCAAGGCAGGAAAAGAAAACAAACAUAAACAAGAAGACCAAGGACUGGACCAGACGACUGGACCACAUAUCAUUUACAUAUGUGUUGGCACUCUCUUAGGUGUAAUUAUUG
Non-coding RNA from Pimephales promelas (fathead minnow), 480 nucleotides. The record is from RefSeq and is a predicted model, not a curated record. Lineage: Eukaryota; Metazoa; Chordata; Actinopteri; Cypriniformes; Leuciscidae.